This 447-nucleotide ribosomal RNA is filed under the name uncultured organism. RNAcentral describes it as "partial 16S ribosomal RNA". It matches the Rfam family "Bacterial small subunit ribosomal RNA", at positions 335 to 798 of the family's 1533-position model. The record is from RNAcentral.
ACUCCUACGGGAGGCAGCAGUGGGGAAUAUUGGACAAUGGGCGCAAGCCUGAUCCAGCCAUGCCGCGUGAGUGAUGAAGGCCCUAGGGUUGUAAAGCUCUUUCACCGGUGAAGAUAAUGACGGUAACCGGAGAAGAAGCCCCGGCUAACUUCGUGCCAGCAGCCGCGGUAAUACGAAGGGGGCUAGCGUUGUUCGGUUUUACUGGGCGUAAAGCGCACGUAGGCGGACUAUUAAGUCAGGGGUGAAAUCCCGGGGCUCAACCCCGGAACUGCCUUUGAUACUGGUAGUCUUGAGUUCGAGAGAGGUGAGUGGAAUUCCGAGUGUAGAGGUGAAAUUCGUAGAUAUUCGGAGGAACACCAGUGGCGAAGGCGGCUCACUGGCUCGAUACUGACGCUGAGGUGCGAAAGCGUGGGGAGCAAACAGGAUUAGAUACCCCAGUAGUCCGAU